Hibiscus syriacus is the source of this 149-nucleotide long non-coding RNA. RefSeq lists it as uncharacterized. Lineage: Eukaryota; Viridiplantae; Streptophyta; Magnoliopsida; Malvales; Malvaceae. The record is from RefSeq and is a predicted model, not a curated record. The transcript has 3 exons.
CUAAUUAAGAAAAAUGCAACAUUAAACUACCAUUUUCCCAUUGUUUUCCUGUCUCAAAAUAAAAUUAAAAGACUUGCCUGAUAUUGAUGUUGAUUCUUGAAGUUCUUAUAUAGUCUAGGAAACAACGAUCGUCUUCAUCCAAGAACUGG